AUACUUACCUGGCAGGGGCGAUACCAUGAUCAAGAAGGCAUUUUCCUAGGGAUAUCUCAUUGUUGGACUUGGAAUGUGUUGACAUCUUUGGCUUCUUCAAAUGUGAGAACCUUAACUGCAUAAUUAGUGGUGGUGAGAACUGUCUUUGUGUUCUCU
This is a small nuclear RNA of Onychomys torridus (southern grasshopper mouse), 156 nucleotides long. RefSeq annotates it as U1 spliceosomal RNA. The record is from RefSeq and is a predicted model, not a curated record. Lineage: Eukaryota; Metazoa; Chordata; Mammalia; Rodentia; Cricetidae. The transcript has a single exon.